Molecule: transfer RNA, 75 nt
Filed under: Xanthomarina gelatinilytica
Lineage: Bacteria; Pseudomonadati; Bacteroidota; Flavobacteriia; Flavobacteriales; Flavobacteriaceae
Description: tRNA-Thr
Rfam family: tRNA
About the family: Transfer RNA (tRNA) molecules are approximately 80 nucleotides in length. Their secondary structure includes four short double-helical elements and three loops (D, anti-codon, and T loops). Further hydrogen bonds mediate the characteristic L-shaped molecular structure. tRNAs have two regions of fundamental functional importance: the anti-codon, which is responsible for specific mRNA codon recognition, and the 3' end, to which the tRNAs corresponding amino acid is attached (by aminoacyl-tRNA synthetases). tRNAs cope with the degeneracy of the genetic code in two manners: having more than one tRNA (with a specific anti-codon) for a particular amino acid; and 'wobble' base-pairing, i.e. permitting non-standard base-pairing at the 3rd anti-codon position.
Source: RNAcentral
GCCAACGUAGCACAACGGUAGUGCAGUUCACUUGUAAUGAACAGGUUGGAGGUUCGAAUCCUCUCGAGGUCACAA